GCUUACACAUGCAGUCGAGGGGUAACAGGAGUAGCUUGCUAUUUGCUGACGACCGGCGCACGGGUGCGUAACGCGUAUAGAAUCUACCUUAUACUGGGGGAUAGCCUUUGGAAACGAAGAUUAAUACCCCAUAGUAUUAUUUUUUGGCAUCAUUAAAUAAUUAAAGUUUCGGCGGUAUAAGAUGACUAUGCGUUCUAUUAGUUAGUUGGUAAGGUAACGGCUUACCAAGACUUCGAUAGAUAGGGGUCCUGAGAGGGAGAUCCCCCACACUGGUACUGAGACACGGACCAGACUCCUACGGGAGGCAGCAGUGAGGAAUAUUGGACAAUGGAGGCAACUCUGAUCCAGCCAUGCCGCGUGUAGGAAGACUGCCCUAUGGGUUGUAAACUACUUUUAUAUGGGAAGAAUAAGAUCUACGUGUAGAUUGAUGACGGUACCAUAAGAAUAAGCACCGGCUAACUCCGUGCCAGCAGCCGCGGUAAUACGGAGGGUGCAAGCGUUAUCCGGAAUCAUUGGGUUUAAAGGGUCCGUAGGCGGGCAUAUAAGUCAGUGGUGAAAGUCUGUGGCUUAACCAUAGAAUUGCCAUUGAUACUGUAUGUCUUGAAUUAUUGUGAAGUGGUUAGAAUAUGUAGUGUAGCGGUGAAAUGCUUAGAGAUUACAUAGAAUACCGAUUGCGAAGGCAGAUCACUAACAAUAUAUUGACGCUGAUGGACG
RNAcentral lists this ribosomal RNA (714 nucleotides) under Dokdonia donghaensis. RNAcentral describes it as "bacterial SSU rRNA". It matches the Rfam family "Bacterial small subunit ribosomal RNA", at positions 46 to 755 of the family's 1533-position model. Lineage: Bacteria; Pseudomonadati; Bacteroidota; Flavobacteriia; Flavobacteriales; Flavobacteriaceae. The record is from RNAcentral.